This 376-nucleotide ribosomal RNA is filed under the name uncultured organism. RNAcentral describes it as "partial 16S ribosomal RNA". It matches the Rfam family "Bacterial small subunit ribosomal RNA", at positions 527 to 897 of the family's 1533-position model. The record is from RNAcentral.
GUAGGUGGCAAGCGUUGUCCGGGAAUUAUUGGGGCGUAAAGCGCGCGCAGGCGGUUCUUUAAGUCUGAUGUGAAAGCCCACGGGCUCAACCGUGGAGGGUCAUUGGAAACUGGAGAACUUGAGUACAGAAGAGGAAAGCGGAAUUCCACGUGUAGCGGUGAAAUGCGUAGAGAUGUGGAGGAACACCAGUGGCGAAGGCGGCUUUCUGGUCUGUAACUGACGCUGAGGCGCGAAAGCGUGGGGAGCAAACAGGAUUAGAUACCCUGGUAGUCCACGCCGUAAACGAUGAGUGCUAAGUGUUAGGGGGUUUCCGCCCCUUAGUGCUGCAGCUAACGCAUUAAGCACUCUGCCUGGGGAGUACGGCCGCAAAGGCUGA